This 85-nucleotide signal recognition particle RNA is filed under the name Lactobacillaceae bacterium. RNAcentral's name for it is "signal recognition particle sRNA small type". It matches the Rfam family "Bacterial small signal recognition particle RNA". From Rfam's summary of the family: The signal recognition particle (SRP) is a universally conserved ribonucleoprotein involved in the co-translational targeting of proteins to membranes. Archaeal SRP consists of a 7S RNA and homologues of the eukaryotic SRP19 and SRP54 proteins. Lineage: Bacteria; Bacillati; Bacillota; Bacilli; Lactobacillales; Lactobacillaceae. The record is from RNAcentral.
AGGGCAGGCAAUUGUUUGCUAACGAACCAGGUCAGGUCAGAAAUGAAGCAGCCUUAAGUUUUCUAAAUGAUGUGCUUGCGUACAU